This 403-nucleotide ribosomal RNA is filed under the name uncultured bacterium. RNAcentral describes it as "partial 16S ribosomal RNA". It matches the Rfam family "Bacterial small subunit ribosomal RNA", at positions 28 to 526 of the family's 1533-position model. The record is from RNAcentral.
GACGAACGCUGGCGGCGUGCCUAAUACAUGCAAGUCGAACGCAGUGGGGACGGGUUCGUAACACGUGGGUAACCUCCCAUCAGAGGGGAUAACCCUUGGAAACAGGUGCUAAACCGCUACUGAUGUAUGGACCCGGGGUGCAUUAGCUAGUGGGGGGGGUAACGGCUCACCAAGGCCACGAUGCAUAGCGGACCUGAGAGGGUGAGCAGCCACACUGGGACUGAGACACGGCCCAGACUCCUACGGGAGGCAGCAGUAGGGAAUCUUCGGCAAUGGACGAAAGUCUGAUCGAGCAACGCCGCGUGAGUGAAGAAGGUCUUCGGAUCGUAAAACUCUGUUGUCAGAGAAGCGGUAUCUAAACAGAAAGCAACGGCUAACUACGUGCCAGCAGCCGCGGUAAUAC